GAACGCACCUUGCGCUCUCUGGUAUUCCGGAGAGCAUGCCUGUUUGAGUGUCAUGAACUCUUCAACCCACCGGUUCCUAGUGAAUCGAGUUGGUGUUUGGAUUUUGAGCGUUGCAGACUUUUAUUAGUCUGCUCGUUCGUAAUACAUUAGCAUCUCAAUUUCGAACCUCGGAUUGACUCAGCGUAAUAGACUAUUCGCUGAGGACACUUUAGCAAUAAGGUGGCCGAAUUGUAGAUAAGAGUGGAAGCUUCCAACCCUUCUAGUCAAAUUUUUAGAUUAGACCUCAGAUCAGGCAGGAUUACCCGCUGAACUUAAG
Molecule: unclassified non-coding RNA, 316 nt
Filed under: uncultured fungus
Lineage: Eukaryota; Fungi
Description: sequence contains 5.8S rRNA gene
Rfam family: 5.8S ribosomal RNA (bases 1-53)
Source: RNAcentral